AUCAACUUUCGAUGGUAGGAUAGAGGCCUACCAUGGUAGUAACGGGUAACGGGGUUGUUAGGGCACGACACCGGAGAGGGAGCCUGAGAAACGGCUACCACAUCCAAGGAUGGCAGCAGGCGCGCAAAUUACCCAAUCCCGACAUGGGGAGGUAGUGACAAUAAAUAACAAUACAGGGUUCUUUUGGAUCUUGUAAUUGGAAUGAGUACAAUUUAAAUCUCUUAACGAGGAACAAUUGGAGGGCAAGUCUGGUGCCAGCAGCCGCGGUAAUUCCAGCUCCAAUAGCGUAUAUUAAAGUUGUUGCAGUUAAAAAGCUCGUAGUUGAAUUUCGGGAUCAAAGAAUCGGUCAUGCCUUGGUAUGUACUGGUUUUAUUGGUUCUCACCUUCUAAAGAACCAUAAUGUCAUUUAUUUGAUGUUAUGGGGAAUUAGGACUGUUACCUUGAAAAAAUUAGAGUGUUUAAAGCAAGCUUACGCUUGAAUACAUUAGCAUGGAAUAAUGAAAUAGGACAUCCGAUUCUAUUUUGUUGGUUUCUAGGAUCGAUGUAAUGAUUAAUAGGGAUAGUUGGGGGCAUUAGUAUUCAAUUGUCAGAGGUGAAAUUCUUGGAUUUAUUGAAGACUAACUACUGCGAAAGCAUUUGCCAAGGAUGUUUUCAUUAAUCAAGAACGAAAGUUAGGGGAUCGAAGACGAUCAGAUACCGUCGUAGUCUUAACCAUAAACUAUGCCGACUAGGAAUCAGGCGAUGUUAAUUUUUUAAUGACUCGUUUGGCACCUUACGGGAAACCAAAGUGUUUGGGUCC
This 799-nucleotide ribosomal RNA is filed under the name uncultured Glomeromycotina. RNAcentral describes it as "SSU rRNA". It matches the Rfam family "Eukaryotic small subunit ribosomal RNA", at positions 314 to 1114 of the family's 1831-position model. Lineage: Eukaryota; Fungi; Glomeromycota. The record is from RNAcentral.